AUUGAACGCUGGCGGCAGGCUUAACACAUGCAAGUCGAGCGGGGGAAGGUAGCUUGCUACCGGACCUAGCGGCGGACGGGUGAGUAAUGCUUAGGAAUCUGCCUAUUAGUGGGGGACAACAUCUCGAAAGGGAUGCUAAUACCGCAUACGUCCUACGGGAGAAAGCAGGGGAUCUUCGGACCUUGCGCUAAUAGAUGAGCCUAAGUCGGAUUAGCUAGUUGGUGGGGUAAAGGCCUACCAAGGCGACGAUCUGCAGCGGGUCUGAGAGGAUGAUCCGCAACACUGGGACUGAGACACGGCCCAGACUCCUACGGGAGGCAGCAGUGGGGAAUAUUGGACAAUGGGGGGAACCCUGAUCCAGCCAUGCCGAGUGUGUGAAGAAGGCCUUAUGGUUGUAAAGCACUUUAAGCGAGGAGGAGGCUACUCUAGUUAAUACCUAGGGAUAGUGGACGUUACUCGCAGAAUAAGCACCGGCUAACUCUGUGCCAGCAGCCGCCGUAA
This 501-nucleotide ribosomal RNA is filed under the name uncultured bacterium. RNAcentral describes it as "partial 16S ribosomal RNA". It matches the Rfam family "Bacterial small subunit ribosomal RNA", at positions 30 to 523 of the family's 1533-position model. The record is from RNAcentral.